Long non-coding RNA from Taeniopygia guttata (zebra finch), 4943 nucleotides. NCBI's taxonomy places the organism in Eukaryota, Metazoa, Chordata, Aves, Passeriformes, Estrildidae. The record is from Ensembl.
UUUUUUUUUUUUUUUUUUUUUAAUGGGGAAUCUGCCUCGCUGCGGCUGUGGGAGCUGCCGGGUUGGUAGCGCGGACUCCGGGUGCUGCUGGAUCCCGUCAGGAUCAGCUCUCGCUGCGGAGCACUGCAGUUCUACAGACGAGCCCGUAGCUGGCACUCGGCACUGUCUGUUCAGGCAGCUGAGGAGCAGGAGUCCAGCCCUCCCCCUUGCACAGCAGAAUGAAAGUUAGCAAAAAGUUAGAAAAUAGGAAAGAAGUCGUUCUUUGCCUUCAGUGGCUGAACCUUGAGGUUGAGGUGUUCGUGAUUCUCUGCAGCGAUGUGACCACAGACUUUUAAAAAGAGAAGUUGAGAAUUUCAGGUGAUUCAUCGAGACAGGACUUUAAAACCCCAUAUAAAAUGUUACAAAAAAAUCAGAUAAGUCAUCACACAUCGUGAGUUUCCACAUUCAGAAACUCAAAAAUUUUCCAAUUGUAAUUUGCACUUUUGACACAGACAAAGAAUUUUUUUCUCUCUCUGUAGACUUUACAGCCGAUUUGGCAAACAGGCUGACCCCUUCCUGCCCUGAAUCUUGUUGAAAAGUGUGAGUUCACUGUCACAACUCUGAACAGUUAUGCUUCUGAGGCAUGAGCCAAGGUAGAGCCCAGAUAGAUAUCCCUGGGCUCAGCAGGGCUGACAGGGAUAUCAGACACUCAGAAAAUAGUUUAAUCAACAAAGUCACCAGGUGCAAUGCUGUGAGACCCUGGGAAGCACAGCAGCAGCAGCAGCAGAAGAGCUCAUUUUCAGACAGCUGCUUCUCUAUAAUGAUUAAAUAGCCUGAGUCAGAAGGCACACAAAAGGAUCAUGAUUCCAGCUCCUGUCCCUGCACAGACACCCCAGCAAUCCCACCCUGGGCAUCCCUGAGAUCACUGUCCAAACACUCCUGGAGCUCUGGCAGCCUCGGGGCGGUGCCCAUUCCCUGGGGAGCCUGGGCAGUGCCAGCACCUCUGGGGGAAGAACCUUUCCUGGUAUCCAGCCUAAACCUCCCCUGGCACAGCUCCAGCCAUUCCCUCAGUCCCUGGUCACAGAGCAGAGAUCAGAGCUGGCCCUUGGGAUGAAGCUGCAGCCCCUGGUGAGCUCUGCCCUCAGUUUCCUUCAGGCUGAACAAACCGUGUGCCCUCAGCCACUCCUCACACAGCUCUAGUUGCCUCGAGAUGCUUCAGCAUGCUUGUGUCCCUCCUUUGCUCUCCAGUAACUUUAGAUCCUUCUGAUACUGUGGUGCCCAAAGCUGUGCCAGGGGUGGGUGGAUUCCUGCAAGCUGGGACUGGCCAGGAGAUGGAGCCCUGGACUCCUGGAGCCUCCAGCAUCACCUGCUGCUCCAGGUGGAGCACAGCCCGGGCAGUGAGAAUGACACCUCUCCUCAGGCACUGCAUACCGUCGGCAUUGAACUAUUAAAAACCACCAAAAAAGGGAUCAGGCUGCUGUAAUCCAGGAAGGUCACCUGAGGCAUGAAGCCUGCUGGAGCAGCACUACUGACACAGAUACCUUUUCCAUCAAGUCUCUGUGGUUUGGCAGUGCUAAAAAUGAUCCCCAAAACCCAAGGAUCCCUUUGUACAGGAGAUGAAUCAAGCCUGUACCCCUCCUGAGCCUCUGGAUUUGUGGAGGCAGUUUCCCCCAACAGACAGGAAAGCUUUAAUGCAGGCACUUUGCUGUUGAGCUGCACCUUGCUGUGAAGGACAGAUGACUAUCUGCAUGUUGGCUUAGAGUAAAGUUUUAGGUGAGGCAAGGGCUGCUGCCAUCACAAAAUCAGGAGGGGCAUCAAUCAGGGGAGCAAUCCACCUUCCAGCUGCAGUGAGCACUGGUUAAACCGUGGGUGAAACCAUGGCAGAGACGUUGGGGUGAGGUGAUAAUUGGCAGAUGGAGGGCAGAAACUUCCUGACAGAGAUAAAACCAAUCCUCUACUGACACUCAGGGCUCAAACGUGCAAACUCUGGACAUUACAGCUGCUCCUACUUCCCUCCCCUACUCCCCUCCACACCUCCGUGACGGGCUCCUGCUGCUUCACCUUCUGAGGGGUCUCACAACAGGGCAGCCGCUGGGUAAAUCAGUUCCUGCCUUCUCUUGUGGGUGGUUGGGUUUCCAGUGGAUCAUCUGACAAAGCCAGUUGAGGAAAAUGUCCCAGGUGUGUGUAUCACUUUUCACUGAGAGCAGCUUGUGCUGGAAUGGGUAAAUACAGCCAAGAGCUGUAUUCUGUUCAUGUAGCAACAGGCCCUGCAUGAGUACAGACCUGAUGUGGCACAGCUGGCACAGGAGACAUUUGUGCCAGAGCCUGAAUUUUGAGCUAACAGAGGAACUGUGUUUCUUCUUCAUGACAUUGCUUGCUGGGAAAAUGCUGGGUACCUCAACUUGGCACCCAUGCUAAGUAACAUUUCAACUCGUGCAAAAAUGUAGUUACAAAAGACAGGUUAAAAUAUUUGUGUGGUGUACAAGGGAUUGCUGCUGGUACACAGCUCUGGCACCAGUUAUUUUUGGGCCUGAAGUCAUGAGACUCUUGCACAGGUGAGAUGUAAGGGAAGUUACAACUUCAUCACUCAUUCAUGGUUCAGGCUGACAGGUGCCAGGUGAUAUUCUGCAAUUUGUAUUUCUAUUUUCCUGAGAGCCCAACUCUCAAAUACCUGUCAGCUAAUAAAAAUAACUGUCCAGACGCUGAGAUCUCCUGCUGGGUGCCUAAAGCUCUUGGAAAGCCGUGCCCAUAACCCAUCAUGGUAGGAUUCCCUGGGGUAAAAUUGGAGUCGACAUCACUUAGCAACAAGAAGAGAAAAAAAUUAAACCAGGAGAUAAACUUCAUCACUAAUACACCUCCUCCCACUUUCUAUAUUAUUGUUGUAUUAUAUUAUUCCAUGAGCCGUGCUCCUCCUGUGUGCUGCCCAUGGGGAUCAGUGCUCUUUGCUGAACUGACACAGGAAAAUCCUCCCUAUGUAGAUGGGCAUGUUAUGGCUUAAACCCAGCCAGCAACUCAGCCCCACACUGCCCACUCUCCCCUUCCCAGUGGGAUGAGGGGAGAGCACUGUAAAAGUGAGAGACCUCAUGGGUUGAGAUAAAGACAGUUUAACAGGGAAAGGAAAGGGCGUGCAAGGAAAACAGGACAAGGAAUUCAUUCCCUGCUUCUCUUGGGCCAGCAGGUAUUCAACCAUCACCAGGGCAGCAGGACGCUGCCACAGGUUCCUUGUGAUAGGAAAGGUGUGUGCUAAUGUCUUUACAAACAAUUCCAUGGGUGAGGGGAUGAGUGUUAACAUCUUUGAAAUGCAUCUUAAUGUCUCUACCAGCUUCAAGUGAUGCCUCAGGUUUUAGCUUUUGUGGUUUUCAGAUUCUGUACUGCUUUAGUGGGUACUUCUGAGCUUCAUAUUAGCACGUAGUAAGCUCUCUGCACAGAGCAGGGAGACAAAACAAUUCCUUCUCUAGCUGGGGACCAAGGACAAACGAUCCAAAUCUCAGGCUCAAGAGCAUAAACAACAUGGACUGAAGAGAGCAAAACAAGAAGGGUGGGGCUUCAUGGGCUGGAGCUGUAAUUGGACAAUUAACUCCAAGGUGCAAAUGGAGCAGGACUUAUAAAAGUUAGAGAUCCUGUGACAGGUUGUGCAUUUUGUGACCAUUUUGGCUUAUCUUGGGUGUAGCCAUGGCUGGUCUCUUGUGCUGCCCAAGGUGGAUCCAUUGAGGCCUUUUAAUAAAUCCCUACUUUAUUCUUUAGCUCUGUUCCAGGUCAGCCUUCCCAAGGCAUCACAAGCAGCAAGUUUGUUACAGAGUCCAGACAACUUUAACUCCUGAAACAGACAAGUGGGUCUGCACGAGCUUGAGUUUCUAAACUUUGGGGUAAAAUGACAGGGAGAGAUGUGGUAGGUGGUUCGGGAAGGCUGUACCUUCCUAGUGCCUCAGCAAUGGGGAAAGGAAGAGGGCAAAAUGCGGCUGGGAGUUGGGGAUAAAAGGAGGCUGUGCCCUCUGAAACCUCGGGAGAGGAAGCCCCAUGGGUGUGUGCCCUGGUGGACUCUCUGCCUUUCUUCAAAUAAAGUUCCAGGACUCCUCUGUCUCCUUUAUGGACCCUGGCUUUUCAUGGUGUGACUUUUCAUACAAGUCCAACCAUUAACCCACCACUAAACCACGUCCCCAGGUGCCACAUCUAUGUGUUUUUUGAAUACCUCCUGGGCUGGUGACUCUACCACUGCCCUGGGCAGCCUGUGCCAGUGCUGACUACCCUUACAGUGAUGAAUUUUUUUUCUAAUAUACAGCCUAAACCUUGCCUGGCAGAACCUGCUUCAGCUUUUACUGCUUCAGCUUCAGCUGCCUAGGUGAAAAACGCUGGCAGCAGGGACAUUUUCACUGGGAAGUAGUCUGUAUCCUCAUCCUUUUCCUGAAUGGUACAGAGGAUCAGCCCUGUUUGAAAUAAACCAGGGAGGACAAAGGAAGUCUCCUGGUGUGAAACCAUGGAACAGAUUGUCAGGAAAAUGAAUCCACAAACACCAGAGAUUUAUAUCCAAAACGGAGACAGAGGAGUUCUGUAACUUUAUUCAAAUAAAGGGAGAGGCCAUGGGGAAUUCCCCUAGAGUCUCUAAUUUUUGGAGGACACAGCCUCCUUCUUAUCCUAAUUUCCUGGUCGCAUGUCCCUCUCCUUUUCCCUGUUGGCUGAGGUGCUUGAGAGGUACAGACUUUCUGAAAUGCCCAGUACCUGAAACGCCUAAUACCUAAGACCACCUUCAACUGUAUAACUCCCCACUGUUGUUUUUAUCUUGUUGUCACUCAGUGGAAUUCCUUAUGGAAUUUAUGGUUCUUCCCAUUAUUUCUUUCAUCUCUCGGUAUCCAGUUUUAUUUAUCAGCAGACCUACAGUUUGUUUGUAAAGACAAAUCUCUCGUUCCAUUUAUCAAUCAGUGAAAUCCUUCCCAUUGUUUCUUUUAUCUCUCAGUAUCUACCUUUAU